This 391-nucleotide ribosomal RNA is filed under the name uncultured bacterium. Its description in RNAcentral is "bacterial SSU rRNA". It matches the Rfam family "Bacterial small subunit ribosomal RNA", at positions 28 to 417 of the family's 1533-position model. The record is from RNAcentral.
GACGAACGCUGGCGGCGUGCUUAACACAUGCAAGUCGAGCGGUAAGGCCCUUUCGGGGGUACACGAGCGGCGAACGGGUGAGUAACACGUGGGUGACCUGCCCUCAGCUCUGGGAUAAGCCUGGGAAACCGGGUCUAAUACUGGAUAUGACUCCAUGACGCAUGUUGUGGGGUGGAAAGCCUUGUGCGGCUGAGGAUGGGGCCCCGCGGCCUAUCAGCUUGUUGGUGGGGGUGANGGCCUACCAAGGCGACGACGGGUAGCCGGCCUGAGAGGGCGACCGGCCACACUGGGACUGAGACACGGCCCAGACUCCUACGGGAGGCAGCAGUGGGGAAUCUUGCGCAAUGGGCGAAAGCCUGGCGCAGCGACGCCGCGUGAGGGAUGACGGCCU